UGUAUAUUGGGUGCACUUCGUUUUU
This 25-nucleotide non-coding RNA is filed under the name Drosophila erecta. The record is from RNAcentral. RNAcentral also lists the same sequence under 1 other name. Lineage: Eukaryota; Metazoa; Arthropoda; Insecta; Diptera; Drosophilidae.